RNAcentral lists this long non-coding RNA (627 nucleotides) under Scophthalmus maximus (turbot). Its description in RNAcentral is "lncRNA (ENSSMAG00000030265.1)". The record is from RNAcentral. Lineage: Eukaryota; Metazoa; Chordata; Actinopteri; Pleuronectiformes; Scophthalmidae.
AUGCAUAGUGAACAAUUGAUCAUCUUUACUCUGUUGGUUAUUUUAUCGAUGACUCGAAUGGAAAAUUUGCUCAGAAAAAUUUUCACCAUGCAAGGCCCGACACUCAGGGUAAAAACGUGUUCUAUUUCAUACCUGCUUUGCUUAUCACCAUGUUUCUUGAUCCAUUUCAAAGUUUAUCAAUACUUUAAAUGUAUGGUUUAUCGUUUCAAAGAAAGUGCUGAGUGCAGAGGCAUUUCAAGGGACUUUGCUGAGUGUCCUGAAAGACAGAGUGAUAAAGUGUUUUACCUGGAUAGCUUCCACCUGUUGUCCCACCAUAGCCAGGGCCAACACCGCCUGAGGAACAGUGGACAUAUUACAGCCUGCAAUACUCACACUACAACUCACUUGCAGCUCCCUGGCCUGUUCCUGCAGCACCUCCUGCCCCUGUUCUUUCUGCUACACUGCCUGAACAUGCAAGGAUGCCUCCUGUUCCAGCACCAGGAAGCCCUCCUGCCCCACCACCUGGUGAACAUACGUGUGGUUGAGCUGCCUGCACCAGCACCACCCGGUCCGAAGCCUCCUGUUCCUCUGCCAGCACCACCAGGUCCAAAACCACCUGUUCCCGUGCCAGCGCCACCUGGUCCAUAG